Molecule: ribosomal RNA, 1462 nt
Filed under: metagenome
Description: bacterial SSU rRNA
Rfam family: Archaeal small subunit ribosomal RNA
Source: RNAcentral
UCCGAUUGAUCCCGUCGGACCCCACUGCUAUCGAGAUGGGACUAAGGUAUGCUAGUCGAACGACCAGAACUAUGUCUGGAAGUGGCACACUGCUCAGUGACACGUAGCUAACCUACCCUUAGGACGUGGAUACCCCCGAGAAAUUGGGGUUAAUCCGCGAUAGAUGUAAUGUCCUGGAAUGGUAUUACGUCUAAAGGUAUUCCAUACAUGUUUGAAAUAUGCCUAAGGAUGGGGCUGCGGCCGAUCAGGCUGUUGGUGAGGUAAUGGCUCACCAAACCUUUGACCGGUACGGGCCAUGAGAGUGGUAGCCCGGAGAUGGACACUGAGACAAGGGUCCAGGCCCUAAGGGGCGCAGCAACCGCGAAACCUCCACAAUGCACUCACGUGCGAUGGGGCUAUCUCGAGUGCCACCUGAUGAAGGUGGCUUUUCCUUGGUCUUCAAAGCCUUGGGAAUAAGAGGGGGCAAGACUGGUGUCAGCCGCCGCGGUAACACCAGCCCCUCGAGUGGUGGGGAUGAUUAUUUGGCCUAAAGCGUCCGUAGCCGGCCGAGCAAGUCUUCCGUUAAAUCCAGCGUCUCAAGCGUUGGACCGCGGGAGAUACUACAUGGCUAGAGAGUGGGAGAGGUCAGCGGUAUUCUGGGGGUAGGGGCGAAAUCCUUUGAUCCCCGGAGGACCACCAGUGGCGAAGGCUGCUGACUAGAACUCGUCUGACGGUCAGGGACGAAAGCUGGGGUAGCGAACCGGAUUAGAUACCCGGGUAGUCCCAGCCGUAAACGAUGCAUGCUAGGUGUUGGGUUGGCCACGAGCCACCCCAGUGCCGCAGGGAAGCCGUUAAGCAUGCCGCCUGGGAAGUACGAUCGCAAGAUUGAAACUUAGAGGAAUUGGCGGGGGAGCACCACCAGGCGUGAAGCCUGCGGUUUAAUUGGAGUCAACGCCGGGAACCUUACCGGGAGCGACAGCAGAAUGAAGGCCAGAUUGAAGAUCUUGCCAGACGAGCUGAGAGGAGGUGCAUGGCCGUCGCCAGUUCGUGCCGUGAGGUGUUCUCUUAUGUGAGAUAACGAACGAGACCCGUGCCACAUGUUGCCACCAGUAUCUAAAGGAUAGCUGAGCACUCUUGUGGGACCGCAGCCGAUAAGGCUGAGGAAGGUACGGGCAACGGCAGGUCAGUAUGCCCCGAAUCUCCCGGGCCACACGCGGGCUGCAAUGGUAUAGACAGAGUGCUGCCACCCCGAAAGGGGGAGCCAAUCCCUAAACUGUACCUCAGUUGGGAUCGAGGGUUGCAACCCACCCUCGUGAACAUGGAAUGCCUAGUAACCGCCAGUCAUCAUCUGGCGGUGAAUACGUCCCUGCUCCUUGCACACACUGCCCGUCGAACCACCCGAAUGAGGUUUGGGUGAGGAAUGGUCGAAUGUUGGCCGUUUCGAACCUGGGCCUCGUAAGGAGGGUUAAGUCGUAACAAGGUG